UAGCAAACAGGAGUAGAUACCCUGGUAGUCCACGCCGUAAACGAUGAGUGCUAAUUGUUGGGAACGUAUAGUUUUCAGUGAUAAAGUUAACGCGCUAAGCACUCCGCCUGGGGAGUACGGCCGCAAGGUUAAAACUUAAAGGAAUUGACGGGGACCCGCACAAGCGGUGGAGCAUGUUGUUUAAUUCGAUGAUACGCGAAGAACCUUACCUACUCUUGACAUCCUGGUCGCGAUUUUGAGAAAUCAUUAUCUUCAGUUCGGCUGGACCAGUGACAGAUGGUGCAUGGUUGUCGUCAGCUCGUGUCGUGAGAUGUUGGGUUAAGUCCCGCAACGAGCGCAACCCUCGCUGUUAGUUGCCAACAGGUAAUGCUGGGAACUCUAACAGAACUGCCGGUGAUAAGCCGGAGGAAGGUGAGGAUGAUGUCAAAUCAGCAUGUCUCUUACGAGUAGGGCUACAAACGUGCUACAAUGGCAAUUACAAUGAGCAGCCACUUCGCAAGAAGGAGCUAAUCUUUUAAAAGUUGCCUCAGUUCAGAUUGUCCUCUGCAAUUCGAGGGCAUGAAGUUGGAAUCGCUAGUAAUCGCAGAUCAGAAUGCUGCGGUGAAUACGUUCUCGGGUCUUGUACACACCGCCCGUCAUCUCAUGGAAGCUGGUUCUACCUGAAG
This 665-nucleotide ribosomal RNA is filed under the name uncultured organism. RNAcentral's name for it is "bacterial SSU rRNA". It matches the Rfam family "Bacterial small subunit ribosomal RNA", at positions 766 to 1426 of the family's 1533-position model. The record is from RNAcentral.